RNAcentral lists this unclassified non-coding RNA (647 nucleotides) under Hevea brasiliensis (rubber tree). The record is from RNAcentral. Lineage: Eukaryota; Viridiplantae; Streptophyta; Magnoliopsida; Malpighiales; Euphorbiaceae.
GUGCAUGUCCUAAACAUCAUAUCAAGUCCUAAUGAACCAACUUUAGGCAUGUAAUUCCUCAUGAUCUCAUAUCUUCCCUUGGGCAUAACAGGUAUGUCUUUAACUGCCCAUUUGGGCUGGAAGCCAAUUCCUAAAAAUCCAAUUCCCAUUUCCUCUGCAACAGCUUUCACCUGAUAAAGGUGUGAAUUAACUUCGGCACAAGUUUGAUGCAAAGUUUCAAGUGGCGCACCACUAAGCUCAAACUGACCACCAGGCUCUAGUGAUAUGCUCUGCUUUCCCUGUUUGAGUCCUAUAAUAUUGUCACCCUCCAUUAUUUUCUCCCAAUCAAAUCUCUCAGCAAUACCAUUAAGCAAGUCCGCAAUUUGUUCAUAUUUCAUAGGGCGUAAAGUUCCAAGUUCAAAUCCAAACUUCUCAUGUUCUGUACCUAUUCUCCAUUUUUCCUUAGGCUUGCAACCAGAGGCAAGGUAUCCUACGAGAUCCUCUUUAGUUAGUGGUUCUGCAGCGAUCACAGUAUCCUCUGUAGGAGGGCUUGCAGCAACAACCAACUGAUUCCCUCUUCUGAUUCUUAGACAUUCUCGNNNNNNCCCCAGGUGUCUUGAUAGAGUUACACAACAAUGAAGAGAAUCUAAAACAUUUUUCCUUCUGUU